UGAGAAGCCGUCAAGGAUUGUGGUGGA
This 27-nucleotide non-coding RNA is filed under the name Homo sapiens (human). The record is from RNAcentral. Lineage: Eukaryota; Metazoa; Chordata; Mammalia; Primates; Hominidae.